Molecule: ribosomal RNA, 694 nt
Filed under: uncultured Bacteroidales bacterium
Lineage: Bacteria; Pseudomonadati; Bacteroidota; Bacteroidia; Bacteroidales
Description: bacterial SSU rRNA
Rfam family: Bacterial small subunit ribosomal RNA
Source: RNAcentral
AACGCUAGCUACAGGCUUAACACAUGCAAGUCGAGGGGCAGCAUUAUCGAAGCUUGCUUUGAUAGAUGGCGACCGGCGCACGGGUGAGUAACGCGUAUCCAACCUUCCUCUCUCCACGGGAUAGCCCGUCGAAAGGCGGAUUAAUACCGUAUGCUGUCACCAGAUGGCAUCAGAAAGUGACGAAAGGUUUAGCGGAGAGAGAUGGGGAUGCGUCCGAUUAGCUUGUUGGCGGGGUAACGGCCCACCAAGGCGACGAUCGGUAGGGGUUCUGAGAGGAAGGUCCCCCACAUUGGAACUGAGACACGGUCCAAACUCCUACGGGAGGCAGCAGUGAGGAAUAUUGGUCAAUGGACGGAAGUCUGAACCAGCCAAGUAGCGUGCAGGAUGACGGCCCUAUGGGUUGUAAACUGCUUUUAUGCGGGGAUAAAGUGGGCUACGUGUAGCCUAUUGCAGGUACCGCAUGAAUAAGGACCGGCUAAUUCCGUGCCAGCAGCCGCGGUAAUACGGAAGGUCCGGGCGUUAUCCGGAUUUAUUGGGUUUAAAGGGAGCGUAGGCCGGAGAUUAAGCGUGUUGUGAAAUGUAGACGCUCAACGUCUGCACUGCAGCGCGAACUGGUUUCCUUGAGUACGCACAAAGUGGGCGGAAUUCGUGGUGUAGCGGUGAAAUGCUUAGAUAUCACGAAGAACUCCGAUUG